RNAcentral lists this small RNA (1278 nucleotides) under Histoplasma ohiense. Its description in RNAcentral is "hypothetical lncRNA". The record is from RNAcentral. Lineage: Eukaryota; Fungi; Ascomycota; Eurotiomycetes; Onygenales; Ajellomycetaceae.
AUCCCUCGCUGCUAAGCUAUCCCUCGCUGCUAAGCUAUCACCGCUGCCAACCUAUCUAUUGCUGCUAAGCUAUCACCGCUGCCAACCUAUCUAUUGCUGCUAAGCUAUCCCUCGCUGCUAAGCUAUCGCCGCUGCCAACCUAUCUAUUGCUGCAAGCUAUCCCUCGCUGCUAAGCUAUCCCUCGCUGGCUAUCCCUCACUGCUAAGCUAUCGCCGCUGCCAACCUAUCUAUUGCUGCAAGCUAUCCCUCGCUGCUAAGCUAUCCCUCGCUGCUAAGCUAUCCCUCGCUGCUAAGCUAUCCCUCGCUGCUAAGCUAUCCCUCGCUGCUAAGCUAUCUAUCGCUGCUGUCAAUCUAUCUAUCGCUGCUAAUCUAUCUAUUGCUGCUAAUCUAUCGCUGCUAAUCUAUUGCUGCUGCCAAUCUAUCUAUCACUGCUAAUCUAUCACUGCUAAUCUAUCGCUGCUGCCAAUCUAUCGCUGCUAAUUUAUUGCUGCUGCCAAUCUAUCUAUCACUGCUAAUCUAUUGCUGCUAAUCUAUCACUGCUAAUCUAUCGCUGCUAAUCUAUCGCUGCCAACCUAUCUACCGCGGCGAAUCUAUCUAUCGCUGCCAAUUUAUCUACCACUGCCAAUCUAUCUAUCGCUGCCAAUCUAUUUCUGCUAAUCUAUCGCUGCUAAUCUAUCGCUGCUGCCAAUCUAUCUUUCGCUGCUAAUCUAUCGCCGCUGCCAAUCUAUCCCUCGCUGCCCAUCUAUCGCCGCUGCCAAUCUAUCCCUCGCUGCUAAUCUAUCGCUGUCAACCUAUCUACCGCGGCGAAUCUAUCUAUUGCUGCCAACCAACCUACCUACCACUGCCAACCUAUCUAUCGCUGCCAAUCUAUCGCUGCCAACCUAUCUACUGCAGUGAAUCUAUCUAUCACUAUCAUUACUAGUUCAAAAUAGAACUAGAGCAUAAAUACACUAAACUUCUUUUGAUAGGUAAUGAUUUUUGGUAACACUCAUAGCAUUAUAUCAUCUAUAUAGGGUAAAUCAUGGUCCCAUUUGGUCCCAUUUUAACAAAAUGGGACCAAAUGAGACCAGAAUCAGUAAUUUAUAAGAAGAACAUGACCUGGGACUAGAUUUAUAAUAUAAACAGUGUAAAGUGACUAAUUUAAUAAACACUAUAUGAGACCAGGACUAAGAAAUUUGAUAAUGGAACUGGAGAAAUAUUUAGUCCCAGUUCCAUACAUGAUCACACAGUCAGUCUAGUUGCAUGCAUUCAACAAGGAUUCAAAUUCUAUAAGCCAUG